CGGGAGAUAGUAAUAAACACUUCAUUUGAGAAAGCAACAAAAAGUAAAUUUAAUUUUUUUUUAUAACCAAAGUAAAUUUAAACUUCAAAAGUGAUGACCCACAUGCAUAGAAAAUUAUAAAUUUUGUUUAAGAUUUUCUACUCUUUAGGUAUGAAAUCCGUAACCCACACCACCACCACCCAUAUAUAUAUUUAUUAAAAAAUUAAAAUUAACUUAAUUCAAUUUUGGUUUGAAGUCCAUGAGUUAUCACAUUGAAAUCCGUAUGAUUUCAUUAUCUCUUUCCUUUUCAAUUAAUUCUCUUUCUCUAACUUCUCAAUUUUCACUUUCUAUAAUUUUUGUUAACUUUGCAUCCACAACCCAAACCCUAGCCGUAUCUUUGGUGUCUCAAAUGGCCACACUAAUACUAUCAAUAUCUUCCUCUCAUCUUUUUUUUCCUCUAUACAUGUGUUUAGUUUUUCAAAAUUGUGAAGUUGAUGUCAGACUUCCGCCGAAAAAUAUAUCACUUUUGGUCAUCUUCAAGCUCAUCCAUGGAAUAUUUAUGGUCAGAUCUGUAACAAUGAUCAUGUAAGCUCUCUUUGGACCUUUUUAUUUCAAGAUCUUGGCACCAAAGUGCUCAACUUCUUCUCCACUUCCAUCUACAUGCAACAACAACAAAUAUAAAAAUUAAAUCUUUCGAUUUCAACCCUUCAUGUUUCACAAACAGUAAUUUAUUUAUUUUUUUUUUGUAUUUUUAGUGCAAAUUUAUUUUUCAUCCUCUUUCUUUGAAUCGAUCAAAAAUAUUUUCAGUUAAAAGAGCUUUUUGAAAUAUCAUCCCAAUAAAAUCACUCUCCUCCAUCUGAUCUACAAAACCCACAAAAAAAUUAAGAUCAAAAUACAUUCGCCGGAUACCACAGUUUUGGAGAGCACCGCACCGGAAACCAUCACAUCGGAAAUCACAGAAUCCUCUUCUGUUUUUAUUUUCAUAUGUGUUAAAUGGUAAUUAUGUUUGAUUGUACCUUUUUUAUAAUAAGAUCUAAAAGAUCAGGUUGAAAAAAUAAUUCAUUUAUUUUAGAUUUGAUAUUAUUUUCUAAUUCAUUAUUUCUCUGCAAAGUUCUCUACUUUCACUAUUAUUUUUUAGAUCUACUACAAUUGAUGAAUUAAAACAAAAAAAAAAUUAUAUUUCUUUUAUUAGUUUUGUAACAGCUAUAACCAAAAUAUUUUUAUUUUUUUUAGAAAUAAUAAGAUGGUUUGAAUUAAUGUAAAUGAUUAUGUUAUCAAUACUUCCCUUUAUUUUGAUUUUUCUUUUCUUCAUUAGUUUUUUCUUUUUUUUGACGAAAUUUUCUUUUCUUCAUUAGUUGUCACCGUUUUUUUUUAAGCUCAUCCAUCUAAUUUUCUUUUUUCUUUUUUUCGUAAAAAAAAAACAAAUUAAUACAGUAGAUCUAAAAAAAAACUACUAUUUCUAUUGUUUGGACCUGAAUAUAUUUUAAAAUUUAUUUGUUGUGUUUGAUUGUAAUCUUCUACAACUUUGAAAAAAAGCUCUGUUUCUCACACUAUACAAUUGAUUUGGCUUUGUUAAUUUUUAUUUUGGGUUUAAGAAGUUUUUUUUAUAUAUGCUUCUGUUUUUAUUUUUGAAGAUAAUUUUUGACGAUAUAUCAAUGAAAAUAAAUGGAGGCAAAUGAGUAAAGGCAGAAAAAAAAUAAUAUUACCACUUAUUUAUCCAGAUCCACUUGUUAUGGUGAGCUUUAAACUUUUCUGCAAAUAAGAAAAAAAACUGGUUUGUUAAGUAAUGGAGUCGAAGAUUAGAAAGAUAUAUGAGAGCAA
This 1800-nucleotide long non-coding RNA is filed under the name Trifolium pratense (red clover). RNAcentral describes it as "long non-coding RNA (TPRA_LNC003758)". The record is from RNAcentral. Lineage: Eukaryota; Viridiplantae; Streptophyta; Magnoliopsida; Fabales; Fabaceae.